ACUACGGAAUAACACAGAGAAAUUUGUGCUAAUACCGUAUACGCCCUUUAUGGGGAAAGAUUUAUCGGUUUCAGAUGAGCCCGCGUUGGAUUAGCUAGUUGGUAGGGUAAAGGCCUACCAAGGCGACGAUCCAUAGCUGGUCUGAGAGGAUGAUCAGCCACACUGGGACUGAGACACGGCCCAGACUCCUACGGGAGGCAGCAGUGGGGAAUAUUGGACAAUGGGGGCAACCCUGAUCCAGCCAUGCCGCGUGAGUGAUGACGGCCUUAGGGUUGUAAAGCUCUUUCACCGGUGAAGAUAAUGACGGUAACCGGAGAAGAAGCCCCGGCUAACUUCGUGCCAGCAGCCGCGGUAAUACGAAGGGGGCUAGCGUUGUUCGGAUUUACUGGGCGUAAAGCGCACGUAGGCGGAUAUUUAAGUCAGAGGUGAAAUCCCGGGGCUCAACCCUGGAACUGCCUUUGAUACUGGGUAUCUAGAGUACAGAAGAGGCAAGUGGAAUUCCGAGUGUAGAGGUGAAAUUCGUAGAUAUUCGGAGGA
Molecule: ribosomal RNA, 537 nt
Filed under: uncultured Bartonella sp.
Lineage: Bacteria; Pseudomonadati; Pseudomonadota; Alphaproteobacteria; Hyphomicrobiales; Bartonellaceae
Description: bacterial SSU rRNA
Rfam family: Bacterial small subunit ribosomal RNA
Source: RNAcentral